RNAcentral lists this ribosomal RNA (488 nucleotides) under Loxa deducta. RNAcentral's name for it is "partial 16S ribosomal RNA". It matches the Rfam family "Bacterial large subunit ribosomal RNA", at positions 1811 to 2568 of the family's 2925-position model. Lineage: Eukaryota; Metazoa; Arthropoda; Insecta; Hemiptera; Pentatomidae. The record is from RNAcentral.
AAACAUGUCUUAAUGUUAAUAAUUUAUAUUAAGUCUAACCUGCUCAAUGAUUUUAUUAAAUAGCCGCAGUAUUCUGACUGUGCGAAGGUAGCAUAAUCACUUGUCUUUUAAUUGAAGGCUUGUAUGAAUGGUUGAAUGAGGGAAUUACUUUAUUUACAUUAUUGUUAGAAUUUAAUUUUUAGGUUAAAAAGCUUAAAUCUUUAAAUGGGACGAGAAGACCCUAUAGAAUUUUAUUUUCAUUUUUUAUUAUACUGGAUUGGUUAACUAUAUUAGUUUAAUUAAUUUGGAAAUUUUAUUGGGGUGAUAGGAAGAUUUAUCUAACUCUUUUAUUUAUUAAUUAUUUAUUUGUAUACUUUUGAUCCCAUAGUAGGAUAAUUAGAUCAAAUUACCUUAGGGAUAACAGCGUAAUUUUUCUGGAGAGUUCUUAUCGAUGGAAAAGUUUGCGACCUCGAUGUUGGAUUAAAAUUAGUUUUAAGUGCAGAAGCUAA